CCUACGGGUGGCAGCAGUGAGGAAUAUUGGUCAAUGGGCGAGAGCCUGAACCAGCCAAGUCGCGUGAAGGAUGAAGGAUCUAUGGUUUGUAAACUUCUUUUAUAUGGGAAUAAAGUGAGGAACGUGUUCCUUUUUGUAUGUACCCUAUGAAUAAGCAUCGGCUAACUCCGUGCCAGCAGCCGCGGUAAUACGGAGGAUGCGGUCGUUAUCCGGAUUUAUUGGGUUUAAAGGGUGCGUAGGUGGUUAAUUAAGUCAGCGGUGAAAGUUUGUGGCUCAACCAUAAAAUUGCCGUUGAAACUGGUUGACUUGAGUAUAUUUGAGGUAGGCGGAAUGCGUGGUGUAGCGGUGAAAUGCAUAGAUAUCACGCAGAACUCCGAUUGCGAAGGCAGCUUACUAAACUAUAACUGACACUGAAGCACGAAAGCGUGGGGAGCAAACAGGAGUAGAUACCCUUGUAGUC
Molecule: ribosomal RNA, 460 nt
Filed under: uncultured bacterium
Lineage: Bacteria
Description: partial 16S ribosomal RNA
Rfam family: Bacterial small subunit ribosomal RNA
Source: RNAcentral